Molecule: unclassified non-coding RNA, 201 nt
Filed under: uncultured Tomentella
Lineage: Eukaryota; Fungi; Basidiomycota; Agaricomycetes; Thelephorales; Thelephoraceae
Description: sequence contains ITS1
Source: RNAcentral
CCGAACUGUCGACACGAGUUGUUGCUGGUCCUCAAAUCGGGGGCAUGUGCACGCUCUGUUUACACAUCCACUCACACCUGUGCACCCUCUGUAGUUCUAUGGCGUGGGGGAUCUUGUCUUCCUGCUGUGGUUCUGCAUCUUUACAACACACAAUGUGAUAGAGUCUCAUGGAAUGUACAUCGCGUUUAACGCAAUACAAUA